CUGGGCUGGAGGUAUGUCUAGCUGUCCUCAAAACUUUUCUAUAGGUGUGAAAUAUUUUAUUUAAAUAAAUUGACCACGGUUGCACAUGUCUAUAACAUCAACACUCUGUGUCUGAGGAAAGAAAAUCGGAAGUUCAAGCCCAGCCAGGACAAUUAAUAAUUUCACAAGAUUAUGUCUCAAAAUUUAAAAAAAAAAAAGUCUGAAGAUACAGCUCAUUGCAAAGGCUAUGUGUUCGAUCCCCAGCAACACAAACACACACAAGUUUUGAGGACAUAGCUCACAGGAGUGCUUGCCUGGCACGCAUGAGACCCUGAAACAUGACUGCACACUAGGAAACAUCCUGACUGAAUUCUGGAGCAGCAGCGGAGGUGAACGCUGCAGUGGUCACCAAUGUUUCCAGUCCGUUCCUAGGUAUAUGCUAGAACUCUACUAUUCCACAAGGCUUGAAAUUCCCUGGCCACGGGCCUUGCUUUGGUCACUGAAAGCAGCACAACAUGAUGAAUACAAAUUCCGGUUCACCAUUAAGCGCGUUUCUUUUCCUCUGUCAUAAUGACUGAUGACAUUCCAGACGGUGCGAGCUGUGCACUACUCACGUCUCAGGAAGAAGAUGAGCAGCAGAGCUCCCUGCAGCCUGAAGUGAGGUCUCACCGGCAGUCAUAAGUAGACUUUUGUUCUUCUAACCUCUCAUAGUUCAGGGGUAGAUUGUUACUUGAACAUAAUCUAGUCCACUAUAGAAAUAAAGAGAGCUAGAAUAUCGGCCCAAUCAGUCCAGAAAAAAGGGAAAGGGGAAACAGUGAAUUAGGGGAAGGUUUGUGCUCAAGAUUCACGCCUAGAAACACCAGAUGCUUUUUCUUUUGUUUGUUUGUUUUGGCAGCAACAAAUCUCCAAGAGGAAGUGGAGAAGUUAGCAGUCAUUAUUGAAGCACUGGGGCCCAGAUCUUAUUCUAUGGACCUAUGGAUGUGUUGUAGAAAGGCAUAUGACAAAGGUGCCAGAGUUUGCUGCUAUACUCCGUGCCUCUCACUUACACGGCUGUAAAACCAGUAGACGGAAUCCACAGACGCACAACCCACAGAUACAGAGGGCCGUCAGUCACCAUAAAGACAACAGAGUGGAGGUUUGGAGGAUACUGGCUAUGUAUAGGUGAGAAGAAACUGUGAUAAAGAAAUAGUAAAAAAUCAACAAAAUACGAGCAGUGUGAUAGCGAUGCAGAAACUUGGUCAACAACUUAGAGUUGAUAAAAUGGAUUUCGAGCUUCCAAAGAAAAAAGAGCAUGAGAUUGCUGUUUCCUCACACACGGCGUGCACAGAGACACACACACAGUGUACACACAGCUUCUAAUGAUGUGGGCACCCAACGAGGAGAAGCCAACACGACGGGGCUGCUCAGAUGAGCCGGUGUAUUCAGGGCCUUCCCAAGCUCCAGUCCUAUUUUGCCACUAGAGUCGUGUCUUCCCGAUGUGAGAUCUUCUACUUAUAACCACUAUCCAGAG
Molecule: long non-coding RNA, 1489 nt
Filed under: Fukomys damarensis (Damara mole-rat)
Lineage: Eukaryota; Metazoa; Chordata; Mammalia; Rodentia; Bathyergidae
Description: lncRNA (ENSFDAG00000021770.1)
Source: RNAcentral